UCCACAGCACAGGACAGCCAACACUAC
This 27-nucleotide non-coding RNA is filed under the name Mus musculus (house mouse). Lineage: Eukaryota; Metazoa; Chordata; Mammalia; Rodentia; Muridae. The record is from RNAcentral.